Molecule: non-coding RNA, 107 nt
Organism: Gossypium arboreum
Lineage: Eukaryota; Viridiplantae; Streptophyta; Magnoliopsida; Malvales; Malvaceae
Source: Rfam
AACCCAUGGUGAGGACACUUUCUCAAUAAGUCCUUGUAUCUCUCCUAUGCAUCGUAAAGUGUUUCUAAAUCCAUCUGCACAACAGAAGAAAUAUCAUUCCUCAACUU